GAAUUUAUAAUUCUCCAAAAUGCAAAUAUAAACCAACAUGGAUAGACCAUUGGUAGUUACCGAACCUAAAUUCAAUGCAAUAACAUCCACAAGAAAACUCUGCAGUACUCACUCGUUAACCUAACACCAGCGCAUUACAGGAAAGAUUUAAAAAAAGAGAAGGAAUUCGGCAAAUGACGGCCCCGCCUGUUUACCAAAAACAUCGCCUCUUGACUUAUAAUAAGAGGUCCAGCCUGCCCAGUGAAUUUUAAACGGCCGCGGUAUCCUAACCGCGCGAAGGUAGCAUAAUCACUUGUUCUUUAAAUGGGGACUUGUAUCAACGGCAUCACGAGGGUUUUACUGUCUCCUCUUUUUGAUCAGUGAAAUUGAUCUUCCCGUGAAGAAGCGGGAAUAUUUUUAUAAGACGAGAAGACCCCAUGGAGCUUUAAACCAAAUAACAACUUAACCACUUAUCCCAUAAUAAAUUUAAGCCCUGUUAUAAGGUUUUUGGUUGGGGUGACCGCGGAGUAAAGCACAUCCUCCACGACGGAAAGAACAGAAUCUUUAUUUAAGAACCACACUUCUAGAAAUUAGUAUACUAACGUUUACUGACCCGACAAUCGAUCAACGGACCAAGUU
Molecule: ribosomal RNA, 618 nt
Filed under: Polypedates leucomystax (Java whipping frog)
Lineage: Eukaryota; Metazoa; Chordata; Amphibia; Anura; Rhacophoridae
Description: partial large subunit ribosomal RNA
Rfam family: Bacterial large subunit ribosomal RNA
Source: RNAcentral